GAACAAAGACAGCGAGUGAGGCACCCAUUGCCCCGAGCAAGGGGGCACCAUAAGCCGUGCUUGGGAAGGCCAAAUAGAGAGCUCCAUAUAGAAAUGGGAGGGGAAGGAGCGCUCAGAGUGUUUCAUUAAUAAGUUUAAAUUAGCGUCAACAUUUAAGAAUCGAGUUUUUCCUUGAAAAGCCAGAUUACUGGUAUCAAGAGAAAACAGAAGGUCUGGCCGUUCUGGCUCUUUACUGUGAUGUAGUCGAAGGGAGGCUGAGGCAUGGGGCUGCGGCUGGAAGGCUCAAGCUUUCUUUGCCAUGGCCCCGCCUUAGCCAGCAUGUCACACAUUCACAUGGCCUGCCCAGGCCCUGGUGGCCAGAGACAGCAAAUGUAGAUGACUCCAAGGGACAAGGGCAGGUAUUGCCACAUUACAGAGAAGAAGACUGAGGCUUGUACUGGGUAGCCAUCUUGGAUCCACUGCAUAAUGCUACUUGAAUCCAUCUCAAAGGGAUUGAAGCGAUGGAAGGUCUGGCCUGCAGACACUUAUCAGCCAAGAUCAUCUGCGUAUUAAAGACAGUUACCAGCCUUGCCCUCCUACCACUUCGUAUAGCUCAUUCUCAAGCUCUAGGCCUAUUUCAAGCCACUGUCCUUCAUCCCUCCCAAGAGACCAAAAGCCACUCACUCUUUGGGGCAGUUUGCAUCACCUACUGGAAGGCCCAAUGAUGCAAAGGAGGGAAGAUGUGUUUAUGAACCACGCUGAGAAUGCUGCAGUAUACACAACCCAAACACUGUCUUAUCUUCUUCCUGAAUGACUCAAAUGGUUGUUUGGUCUUUUGUGAACCCCAGAUCUUCCUCAAUAAAGCAUCUAGCCACUGUA
Molecule: long non-coding RNA, 858 nt
Organism: Bos taurus (domestic cattle)
Lineage: Eukaryota; Metazoa; Chordata; Mammalia; Artiodactyla; Bovidae
Source: Ensembl